AUUGAACGCUGGCGGCAUGCCUUACACAUGCAAGUCGAACGGUAACGGGCCUUCGGGUGCCGACGAGUGGCGAACGGGUGAGUAAUACAUCGGAACGUGUCCGAUCGUGGGGGAUAACGAGGCGAAAGCUUUGCUAAUACCGCAUACGAUCUACGGAUGAAAGCAGGGGACCGCAAGGCCUUGCGCGGACGGAGCGGCCGAUGGCAGAUUAGGUAGUUGGUGGGAUAAAAGCUUACCAAGCCGACGAUCUGUAGCUGGUCUGAGAAGAUGAUCAGCCACACUGGGACUGAGACACGGCCCAGACUCCUACGGGAGGCAGCAGUGGGGAAUUUUGGACAAUGGGCGCAAGCCUGAUCCAGCCAUGCCGCGUGCAGGAUGAAGGCCUUCGGGUUGUAAACUGCUUUUGUACGGAACGAAAAGCCUUCUUUUAAUACAGGAGGGUCAUGACGGUACCGUAAGAAUAAGCACCGGCUAACUACGUG
RNAcentral lists this ribosomal RNA (482 nucleotides) under uncultured bacterium. Its description in RNAcentral is "partial 16S ribosomal RNA". It matches the Rfam family "Bacterial small subunit ribosomal RNA", at positions 30 to 507 of the family's 1533-position model. The record is from RNAcentral.